RNAcentral lists this ribosomal RNA (528 nucleotides) under uncultured cyanobacterium. RNAcentral describes it as "bacterial SSU rRNA". It matches the Rfam family "Bacterial small subunit ribosomal RNA", at positions 217 to 759 of the family's 1533-position model. The record is from RNAcentral. Lineage: Bacteria; Bacillati; Cyanobacteriota.
GCCUGGAGAUGAGCUCGCGUCUGAUUAGCUAGUUGGUGGGGUAAAAGCUUACCAAGGCGACGAUCAGUAGCUGGUCUGAGAGGAUGAGCAGCCACACUGGGACUGAGACACGGCCCAGACUCCUACGGGAGGCAGCAGUGGGGAAUUUUCCGCAAUGGGCGAAAGCCUGACGGAGCAAGACCGCGUGGGGGAGGAAGGCUCUAGGGUUGUAAACCCCUUUUCUUUGGGAAGAACAAAAUGACGGUACCAAAGGAAUCAGCCUCGGCUAACUCCGUGCCAGCAGCCGCGGUAAUACGGAGGAGGCAAGCGUUAUCCGGAAUGAUUGGGCGUAAAGCGUCCGCAGGUGGCCAUGUAAGUCUGCUGUCAAAACCCAGGGCUCAACUCUGGUCAGGCAGUGGAAACUACAAAGCUAGAGUCUGGUAGGGGCAAAGGGAAUUCCCGGCGUAGCGGUGAAAUGCGUAGAUUUCGGGAAGAACAUCGGUGGCGAAAGCGCUUUGCUAGACCAGAACUGACACUCAGGGACGAAAG